GAUGAACGCUGGCGGCGUGCUUAACACAUGCAAGUCGAACGAUGAAGCCCAGCUUGCUGGGUGGAUUAGUGGCGAACUGGUGAGUAACACGUGAGUAACCUGCCCUUAACUCUGGGAUAAGCCUGGGAAACUGGGUCUAAUACCGGAUAGGAGCGUCCACCGCAUGGUGGGUGUUGGAAAGAUUUAUCGGUUUUGGAUGUACUCGCGGCCUAUCAGCUUGUUGGUGAGGUAAUGGCUCACCAAGGCGACGACGGGUAGCCGGCCUGAGAGGGUGACCGGCCACACUGGGACUGAGACACGGCGCAGACUCCUACGGGAGGCAGCAGUGGGGAAUAUUGCACAAUGGGCGCAAGCCUGAUGCAGAGACGCCGCGUGAGGGAUGACGGCCUUCGGGUUGUAAACCCCUUUCAGUAGGGAAGAAGCGAAAGUGACGGUACCUGAAGAAGAAGCACCGGCUAACUACGUG
This 466-nucleotide ribosomal RNA is filed under the name uncultured bacterium. Its description in RNAcentral is "partial 16S ribosomal RNA". It matches the Rfam family "Bacterial small subunit ribosomal RNA", at positions 28 to 507 of the family's 1533-position model. The record is from RNAcentral.